RNAcentral lists this ribosomal RNA (465 nucleotides) under Vreelandella stevensii. RNAcentral describes it as "partial 16S ribosomal RNA". It matches the Rfam family "Bacterial small subunit ribosomal RNA", at positions 338 to 795 of the family's 1533-position model. The record is from RNAcentral. Lineage: Bacteria; Pseudomonadati; Pseudomonadota; Gammaproteobacteria; Oceanospirillales; Halomonadaceae.
CCUACGGGUGGCAGCAGUGGGGAAUAUUGGACAAUGGGGGCAACCCUGAUCCAGCCAUGCCGCGUGUGUGAAGAAGGCCCUCGGGUUGUAAAGCACUUUCAGUGAGGAAGAACGCCUGGUGGUUAAUACCCAUCAGGAAAGACAUCACUCACAGAAGAAGCACCGGCUAACUCCGUGCCAGCAGCCGCGGUAAUACGGAGGGUGCGAGCGUUAAUCGGAAUUACUGGGCGUAAAGCGCGCGUAGGUGGUUUGAUAAGCCGGUUGUGAAAGCCCCGGGCUCAACCUGGGAACGGCAUCCGGAACUGUCAAGCUAGAGUGCAGGAGAGGAAGGUAGAAUUCCCGGUGUAGCGGUGAAAUGCGUAGAGAUCGGGAGGAAUACCAGUGGCGAAGGCGGCCUUCUGGACUGACACUGACACUGAGGUGCGAAAGCGUGGGUAGCAAACAGGAUUAGAUACCCCGGUAGUC